This 963-nucleotide ribosomal RNA is filed under the name Pratylenchus thornei. RNAcentral describes it as "SSU rRNA". It matches the Rfam family "Eukaryotic small subunit ribosomal RNA", at positions 65 to 1021 of the family's 1831-position model. Lineage: Eukaryota; Metazoa; Nematoda; Chromadorea; Rhabditida; Pratylenchidae. The record is from RNAcentral.
AUUCCCCCCCCAUAUAGUAUAACGCUUUAAGCGUGAAACUGCGUACGGCUCAUUACAACAGCAAUAAUUUACUUGAUCUUGACAACCUACAUGGAUAACUGUGGUAAUUCUAGAGCUAAUACAUGCACCAAAGCUCCGACCCGCGAGGGGAGAGCGCAUUUAUUAGAACAAAACCAAGCGGCUUCGGCCGUCCAUUGUUGACUCAGAAUAACUAAGCUGAUCGUACGGUCUUGUACCGACGACGUGUCUUUCAAGUUUCUGCCUUAUCAACUUUCGAUGGUAGUGUAUCUGACUACCAUGGUGGUGACGGGUAACGGAGGAUAAGGGUUCGACUCCGGAGAAGGGGCCUGAGAAAUGGCCACUACGUCUAAGGAUGGCAGCAGGCGCGCAAAUUACCCACUCUCAAUGCGAGGAGGUAGUGACGAGAAAUAACGAGGCCGUUCUCUUUGAGGCCGGUCAUCGGAAUGGGUACAAUUUAAACCCUUUAACGAGUAUCUAUGAGAGGGCAAGUCUGGUGCCAGCAGCCGCGGUAAUUCCAGCUCUCAAAAUGCAUAGAAUUAUUGCUGCGGUUAAAAAGCUCGUAGUUGGAUCUGUGCCUGUGCUCUGGUCCACCUCGCGGUGCGCACUGGGUGUCACAGGCUUUCCUGCAGUGUUCAGCCCCGGCGCCUUCACCGGCACCGGUGUGUUGAUGCUGCAAGUUUACUUUGAACAAAUCGGAGUGCUCCAAACAGGCGUUUGCUUGAACGUUCGUGCAUGGAAUAUUAGAAGAGGAUUUCGGUUCAAUUUUAUUGGUUUUAUUGGCCGAGAUAAUGGUUAACAGAGACAAACGGGGGCAUUUGUAUUGCUGCGUGAGAGGUGAAAUUCUUGGACCGUAGCAAGACAAACUACCGCGAAAGCAUUUGCCCAGAAUGUCUUCAUUAAUCAAGAACGAAAGUCAAAGGUCGAAGGGACAACCCCUCCUCU